RNAcentral lists this ribosomal RNA (161 nucleotides) under uncultured Russula. Its description in RNAcentral is "5.8S ribosomal RNA". It matches the Rfam family "5.8S ribosomal RNA". From Rfam's summary of the family: 5.8S ribosomal RNA (5.8S rRNA) is a component of the large subunit of the eukaryotic ribosome. It is transcribed by RNA polymerase I as part of the 45S precursor that also contains 18S and 28S rRNA. The record is from RNAcentral. Lineage: Eukaryota; Fungi; Basidiomycota; Agaricomycetes; Russulales; Russulaceae.
CAACUUUCAACAACGGAUCUCUUGGCUCUCGCAUCGAUGAAGAACGCAGCGAAAUGCGAUACGUAAUGUGAAUUGCAGAAUUCAGUGAAUCAUCGAAUCUUUGAACGCACCUUGCGCCCCUUGGCAUUCCGAGGGGCACACCCGUUUGAGUGUCGUGAAAU